UCUCUGCUAGUAUAUCGGCUAGUACACGCGCCUGUCAUCGGGUAAAGGUAGACCGCGCGAAAGCUGGGUUCGACUCCCAGGCAGAGAG
Non-coding RNA from Termitomyces sp. Mi166#008, 88 nucleotides. The record is from the annotation of a GenBank genome assembly. NCBI's taxonomy places the organism in Eukaryota, Fungi, Basidiomycota, Agaricomycetes, Agaricales, Lyophyllaceae.